UUGACCUCGGAUCAGGUAGGGAUACCCGCUGAACUUAAGCAUAUCAAUAAGCGGAGGAAAAGAAACCAACAGGGAUUGCCCUAGUAACGGCGAGUGAAGCGGCAACAGCUCAAAUUUGAAAUCUGGCGUCUUUGGCGUCCGAGUUGUAAUUUGCAGAGGGCGCUUUGGCAUCGGCAGCGGUCCAAGUUCCUUGGAACAGGACGUCACAGAGGGUGAGAAUCCCGUACGUGAUCGCUAGCCUUUACCGUGUAAAGCCCCUUCGACGAGUCGAGUUGUUUGGGAAUGCAGCUCUAAAAUGGGAGGUAAAUUUCUUCUAAAGCUAAAUACUGGCCAGAGACCGAUAGCGCACAAGUAGAGUGAUCGAAAGAUGAAAAGCACUUUGGAAAGAGAGUUAAAAAGCACGUGAAAUUGUUGAAAGGGAAGCGCUUGCAGCCAGACUUGCCUGUAGUUGCUCAUCCGGGUUUCUACCCGGUGCACUCUUCUAUAGGCAGGCCAGCAUCAGUUUGGGCGGUUGGAUAAAGGUCUCUGUCAUGUACCUCUCUUCGGGGAGAACUUAUAGGGGAGACGACAUGCAACCAGCCCGGAC
RNAcentral lists this ribosomal RNA (586 nucleotides) under Neodidymelliopsis farokhinejadii. RNAcentral describes it as "eukaryotic LSU rRNA". It matches the Rfam family "Eukaryotic large subunit ribosomal RNA", at positions 1 to 589 of the family's 3401-position model. The record is from RNAcentral. Lineage: Eukaryota; Fungi; Ascomycota; Dothideomycetes; Pleosporales; Didymellaceae.